Molecule: long non-coding RNA, 933 nt
Organism: Oxyura jamaicensis (ruddy duck)
Lineage: Eukaryota; Metazoa; Chordata; Aves; Anseriformes; Anatidae
Exons: 2
Source: RefSeq, a predicted model, not a curated record
CCCCGAGGGGCCCGCUCGGGGAUGGGGGGACCCGGGGGGGACCCCGGCUCUGAGGAGGGGGGGGACCCGCGCCCUGGCAGGCGGCCGCCGGGCUAGGGGAGAGGGGUCGGCCUGCCUUGGCGGGCGGCCCUCGCUGGAAUGCUAAAAAUGUGCUAAUUGUGCCCGGCCAGCGGCCGCCGUGCCUCAGGGAUUAGAGCCACUCGUUCCUUCGUUAUCAGUGGCAGCGCUCCGUUCGGAUCGGUCUUGGCGAACUUUCCUGGUGUGAUGUCUCCGGGUAUCGAAUUCACCGACUUCUGGUUUGGAACUGCGGGGACAUUUUGUGUAAUGGAGAGCUCAGGAAGAUUCAAAAUGUAAAUUUUCUCCUCGUUAGCCAAAGUACCUUCCUGAGGUCCUGAGUCGAAAAUGACAAAACAGGAAAAAAAGCUCAAGAUUAAAGUCAAUAAUCUAGCAUGGGUGUGUAAACUUGCUAUCAAUGCCUCAGCAGAAAUAGUGUAGAGCGUUCACACGGUAAUGAAAAAUACAAAUGUUCCAGAAACUCAUCUAUACACAACAGCACGGAAAGCAUUCCCAAAUAAAAGAGAUUCCAGGUCUAACUCUGUAAAACAAAACUUUUUAAAAACUUGUAGCAAAUAAGCAUGAAACACAUCACAGUACUAGGAAACUUCCUUUUAUAAGAAAGGAAUCGUAUACUUUGGUAUUUUUGAUUGCUUAAUAUGCAAAGUUGGAUCGUAACUAUUACUCAAAUGUUACAUAAAGAAUGAAGUUGUGUGUAAGUGUAGCAGCUUUUACUCAACACAUGGUGCAAAUUGAUUAUCUCUUUUCUCUUGGUGCAGAAAUAGUCUUUCAACAAAUAGAGUCUGAAGAUGGUGAAAUAAGUCUUCAUGAAGUGUUACACAGAUAAGAUUAAAUGGUAUUUUUACAUCCUCCUGCUGA